Molecule: long non-coding RNA, 4237 nt
Organism: Lynx canadensis (Canada lynx)
Lineage: Eukaryota; Metazoa; Chordata; Mammalia; Carnivora; Felidae
Exons: 6
Source: RefSeq, a predicted model, not a curated record
UGCCUGGAGAGGUGAGUUCAUGGUCACUGGAGCACAGAGAAGCAUGCGAAGGACACGGGGAAGGGCCUGGAAAGAUCAUCCAGGGCUAGAACACGAAGGCCUUUGUCAGGUUUGGGUUUGGACUGUAUUCUCCCAGCCCGAGAGACACAGGAGGGUCGUGAGCCUCGGCAGUCUGGCGGUACCAUCCGUGCUGACUGGGAGGACGGCUCGCCGGGAGGCAGGGCAACACCAGGAAGCUGGUCGGGUCCUCCAGCAGACAGCCAGCUGAGAGCCAGAAGGAGUAAGGUGGGAGAAGUUGAAGGAGGAGAGGGGGCAGGAGGCGGGCACCUGAGGAGACAGACGGGUCGAGUGAAGGUCCCAGCCUGGGUGAAAGAUGGAUCUUUGGGAGGGUUUUGAAGUGCCUUUGUGCAUCUGAGCAGAUGUCUCCAGUUGGAAGUUUGCGGCAUAAGCAAGAGAUCCUAAUUUGGGUAUCUGACUUUCAGGCAGGGAUUGGAGCCCCUGGCCCAGCUCCCUCGGUCACGGUCAUGAGUGGAGGGUCUGGGAACCGCCCCAGUCUGGCUGAGCCCCUGCCAAUGCAGGUAAAAACACAGGGGUCUGUGGGGGUGGGGGACAGGAAGGACACUGCAAGCUGUAGAUCACUGUAAGCAUUUUGGACAAGAGUGCUAUCCUGGGCUUCUACAUCUCUCGAACCUUCUGCUGGCUCUCCUUCAUACUUCAUAAAAAUUCUUUAAAACCAGCUAUAACCACCACAAGAAAAAGCAACCCAAACAAAUGCUAAAACGGCAGCCAGUGCUCUCUGAGCCUCUCCACCUAUUUUUUAUUUGCUUGCACGGAGCUCCAUGCUAUAAAUAUGCUCAUGGCAUCCGCACAGGAACUCAAAUGCCAGCACAGCCGACGAAGCUGACUAACCACAAAAAUGCCAACUCACCAGACUGAGGAGAAAGAGCUGCUCUGAGCGAAAAUCAGUCAUUGCGGAAGAUGAGGCACAAAAGGAUUUGAAACCACAAUAAAAAUGAGCCUUAACCAGUUAUGAAGCAGUUGACAAGCAAACAAUCAGGCAUUCAACCAAGCCAACACCAUUCCUGAGCUCCAGUCUAGACUAAGAGGCACAGAAACGACUGGCCAAGCGCUAAGGCAGGUGCGUGAGGAACUGAGAUGCCAGGUGGACUGUGCUGGAGUAAAGCCUCUCAGGAUUCCUGACACAGGGUUGUAACCCAGACUUCCUGCUCACAACCAAACUCAUCGCUGCAGGGACCCUGGGAGGCAGUGGGAUACGCCACACAAGAAUGUUCCACAAGAAAAGGCACGGCAGCUGAUUUUGCUCUAGAAGAAGGAAAACAGUUUUCACGGACUCUAGUAAAUGUCCUACGGUGAAGACAGGAGACCUCCCCACAGGACUGGUCUGGUUCGAAGGCCUGCAUCCACCACAAGGGGAGAGGACGCUGGGAGAAAUUGCCUGUCGUUGAGGCCAGAGAAGCAAGGAGCUUAACCACCGCUGAUUGGCAUGCUGAUUGGCAUGAUCGUCAACCGCAUCCCCUUCUGGCUCACUUAAAAAGGAUUGCUCACCGUGAAGCUACUAUGAAGAUGUGCACUCCGGGGGAGGGCUGCAAAUCAUUGUCUCACCCACAUGGUCACCCCCCACUCCUCUUCAGCUCCUGGAGCAUCCUGGCAGGACAACACCGCUCCACGGGUGAAAUCCCUGAUCACAGUCCUCCUGAGAGAGGAGCUUCCUUUCUGCUCCAGACAGACACCCUCCUGUCUCUCAACCCCCUAGGGUCCGAGCCUGCUCUUGCCCCCACACCCCAGGGACCCUGCCUCAAUCUUCUCUGCACGUCGUCCCCGCCACUCUUCAGACGUGCUCCCCUCGGGGAUGCUGCACCCCUGCUCACCCCCCGUGGCUUCUUCCAUUUCCUCUGCUGCCUCUUGCUCGGCCAUGAGCUACACGUUUAUGGAAAGUUGACAAUAAGGUGUAUUCUGUCCCUGGCUCUCCUCUGCCUCACUGUUGUUUCUUGCAGGACAGGAUUCUUCUUGUGGGUAACUCCCAUAUCUACAUCACUGCACCGGAUUUCUUUCCCAAGCCUGAGACCUGCGUUUCCAACUGCCGGGAGGACUUCAUUACUGACCCCUCAAAGCUGAUGUGACCCAGAGCAAACUCAGCUUCCCUCCGUUAUAUUUGCUUCUUCCUUUCUUCUUUCGGCUUCCUGAUUUUGUGAGCAUCCUCCCAGGUAACCAGGAUCAAAAUUCUCGGGGCCUCCCCCUGGCCUUUUCCUUGGUCCCGUGGGCCCGACUUGUCUGCUCGGCGACAUCUCAACCUCCGGUCUCCCCACCCCUCCUGGCUAGACUUCUGCAACCCUUCCAAGUGAAUCUGCUGCCAAGCUUCUAAUAAAUGCAGCAGACCCUUCUUGAGAACUGUGUGUGCCCACAGCCGAUCCCACAUGCCUCUCUGCAGGCCUCUUGCCCAGACCCCAGCUCCCUGCAGGCUGAUGUUGCACGGGGCACAGUCUACCGAGGCGCAUCGUGCUAGAGAAUCCAGGUCUGGGGAACGAGUCGGCUGGUGUUCACUCUGCCUGCCAGGCCUUUCGGGGCUGGAAUUUGGGACACAGCUCCGAAAGCCAAAGGUUGUAAGAGGCUUUCUCUGAGUGCAUUUGAACAGCUGGGCAAAAUAUCCUGGCUUUCAAAAAGAAAGGCUUUCUUCCUGUUUUCAGAAGUCACCAAGCCUGUUUCCUGGUUUUUGAAGAAACAGGGUCACCUGGGCUUUGGCCAGGCUGAAACAGCCCAUCCCCUCAUCAGGUCACCUGCCACAUGGACCAGAGCUGCCACAGUUACACCUGCUCAAGACGCCCCAGCCUACGGGAAGAUUUAAGACUGCAUUCGCACACAUCUCACUGGCCAGACAACAAACUGUGAGUGGAUUUCUCCAGAGUUGUAAGUUCUCUGACUCCAUUAAGAAAGCAUCGUCUCACUUUGUAGGAAUGAUGAGGCAACAGAACAUGGCAGAAUGCAACCGAGCGUUUCCAGGUAGACUUUGGGAGGUAAAAUAAGAAGUUAGAUCCUGUGGAAUCUUUUUUAAUUUUGAAAAGUGGCAUUUCUCUUACAUUCACAGCCCCAACCUACAGUGUGGCCCUAAAGUGGGGUUUCCAACCUUUCUCCAUUUUCAAUGAGGCGGUUUCUCAACCCUGGCUCUGCUCUCCUCCCUGGGGCAUCUUGGCAAUGCCUCCCACUUCCUUCUAAUGCACGGCGAGAACGGCAUGUGAAUCAUCCUAAAGCACACACAUGAAGUCGGACACCAGAGCACGUUCAUGUCACUACGCAGGAGAGCAGCCCCGUGAACCUGUUCAACGGACACUCGCAUCCCACUGUCUGGAUCACCUGGGGCAAGACCAGCUCAUCGGCAGCUCCUUUAGGCCCCUGAGCCGUUAAAUGCCCCGAGACCGCUUUAAAGUAAAUUCUCACCUCCCGUGAGGAUACAGUAUACAAUGGCUCCCGCCUCUGCCUAAAACACAGAAAGUUUUUGCUAUUUUCUCCUGGAGUUUUUCAAAUGUAUGUUUAGUAGAAGAUCAACUCCCUGAGAGUCUGCAUAGAAUGGUCUGAAAACAACAACAACAACAACCCUAAUAAUUUUCUGGAAAGGUUCUAAUUUUACAGAAGGGUACACUGGAUUUUGCAUCCUAUGACACAUGAGGUGUUUCCUGAUUUCUUGCACCAGGUUAAUGUUUUAUUCAGUAUUAAACGGACUUAAUAUUAUUUUGAACCAAUCUGUUCAUGGACGUUUAGAUUAUUUACAAUCUUUCAAUUCUAACAUGGCUAUCUCUGUUGUACAUCAUUUCACAUUAUAAAUGUAUCCUUAUGGUACAUUCCUAGAUGCGGGAUUCAAGGACAAGUGUGUGCGUGGUACGUAGGGUUCUACAUUUUUCCAACCACUUCCUCAACAUAGUGCAACAGAAUACUGAAAACUGCAUGAGUGAUACAGAUACUUCACAGACGACUAUAAAGCAAGAGCCAGUGACUACCGUCAAAUCCCCCUGGGAAUCCCUCAGUACGCCUGUUCUUUAGAACCCUCGUCGGCUUUCCAGAAGUACAUAUCUUUAUUUUGUGAUAUUCACUGAAUUAUAAGAAAACAUGCAUUUUGAAGAAUUAUAAACCAAAGGGGGGGAAAAUCCAGGAUGAGAUCUAAAUAUACAUAGAAUUUAACUGGGAAAUUUUUUUUUUAGUUUAUUUAUUUGAGAGAGAGAGAGAG